This 184-nucleotide unclassified non-coding RNA is filed under the name uncultured fungus. RNAcentral describes it as "sequence contains ITS1, 5.8S rRNA gene". The record is from RNAcentral. Lineage: Eukaryota; Fungi.
CUGGGUUUCGGACCUCGUGUCCACUCACCCGCCCUUUGUCAUACGCAAUCCAUAUUAUUUCGGCCCCUGACCCUUGGGUGUGACUCCCUAUUAGUUUAGCGAGGUAUCAACCAUCUGUCGCGGGUCGGCAUUGCAAACCCAAGAAUGAAAACUGAAGUCUGAUAUAAUUUUUUAAACGAAAUUA